GUUGGGGGCGGGGGUUGGAUUCCUCCUUACCGAACGAUAUUGAAAUGUGCAGUGUCCACACAGAUUGUCUGAUGAAAAAUAAUGAGCAUGAAAACCCUUUCGUUGAAAGGCGGACGGGCUGAUGAGUCGUUAACACAUCGGCCGCUUGAAUUUGCCAGCAAAUUCGCGCCUUUCCACGGAAAUAGCAAAUCAGUGAUUUGCUAAGCAAUUUCCGUGUCCCCAUCGUCUAGAGGCCUAGGACACUGCCCUUUCACGGCUGUAACAGGGGUUCGAAUCCCCUUGGGGACGCCAUUCCGAUAAUGAGUGAAAGACAUUAUCACCGAUUUUCUUAAAAAGGACUUUAACGAGUCUUGUUAAAAAUAUUGUUCUUUACCAUUCUGGAACAAGCUAAAAAUGGAAAUGAUGAAUAUCCGAAAGAUUAUUUCCAAGUCUCUCAAAAGCGCACAGCCAAGGAUGGAACUAUUUUCGGGUUGGGAGGUUAAGGGACAAAUUUAACACGGGGGAUGCCUAGGAACCCUUCCU
Molecule: unclassified non-coding RNA, 522 nt
Filed under: Gibbsiella quercinecans
Lineage: Bacteria; Pseudomonadati; Pseudomonadota; Gammaproteobacteria; Enterobacterales; Yersiniaceae
Description: partial may contain 16S ribosomal RNA, 16S-23S ribosomal RNA intergenic spacer, and 23S ribosomal RNA
Rfam family: tRNA (bases 216-288)
Source: RNAcentral